Molecule: transfer RNA, 67 nt
Filed under: Anadara kagoshimensis
Lineage: Eukaryota; Metazoa; Mollusca; Bivalvia; Arcoida; Arcidae
Description: tRNA-Glu
Source: RNAcentral
UAAGUUUUUGGUGUGCGAAGACCUUCGUUCAAAGGGUUGACCCAGGCGUGACAAUUGUAAAACUUAU